Molecule: long non-coding RNA, 1672 nt
Organism: Xenia sp. Carnegie-2017
Lineage: Eukaryota; Metazoa; Cnidaria; Anthozoa; Malacalcyonacea; Xeniidae
Exons: 2
Source: RefSeq, a predicted model, not a curated record
UUCAAUUAUUUUACCGACGUCAGUAUUUUAGUUGAUGUUGUAAUACGUAAAUUUAUGAAAUGAUGAUGAAAUACAGAUGUCGGCGACCACAAGUGAAUGGAUGAAAGGCGUUUCUUGAUAGCAUAAAUCCAAUGCUUUUGUACAAAACACCGACGAUCAUCUAAAAUGCAAAGUGCCCGAAGAGGAGUGCUAGACGUCACAGCAUGGAAAGUUGAAAUAUAUACUGAAAUUGUCAUAUAAAAUUUAAUGGUGUAAAAGAGGCUUAAAUCUAUUGUUGUGCAUAUAAGGUAGAAUAUCAACAGAGGAUGUGAAAAUAUGGUAGAAAUAACGCAGAGGAAGAAUAUUGGAGACAGUGAAACCAAUAAAUGACGUCUUCAAUAUUGCUUUUUGCCAAAAGAACUAAAGAUUCACGUUGUAUCAUGAAUUAUCGUUAGAUUGCGUAGAAAAAGAAGCUUAGAAUUGAAAAUAAUUCUUCAAGUCUGGCUAAGCUGUAUGGCAGAUAACAAUCUGACCAAUUACUGCAUUAUGAAUAAUAAUUAUUUACGUCGCAAUGUGAAGUCAACACGCAGUUGGUAUGAGGGGACUGGAUCUGGCUCAUGAUCAAAAUUUGUACUUGUACGUGACCAUUGUUCUGAUAAUUUAUAGUGUUGACGGAUGUUAUUAGUAAUAUAGUUUAGUCUGAGCGCACAUCAUUGAUUCUGAAGAUUGCUUUUAUUCAAUAGCUGGCUUCUUGCUUUUCUGUAUCGUAUCAUAAGUUUUGGCGUGUACAAAUUCGACUAAACACAUGGAAACGCCACAAAAACGAUCGGCAUAUUAUAGACAAAACUCGUGGAGCCCGACACGUAAGGUUUUUCGUCAUAUGUCUGAUGAACAAAAGCAAAAAUCCAUUCACCGCAAAGCUGUGAUUUCUGAAUGUUUGGCUGUAUUAGAUCAUGCAAGCAAAUGUACAGUUGAUGGUUGCAAAUUCAAAAGAUGCAAAUCGAUGAAGAAUGUUUGGAAACAUUUUAAAAACUGUUCUGAGGAGAAAGAAAACUUUUCAAAAUGCCCUAUUUGUAAAAGAGUUCAAUAUUUGUUGCAGUACCACGCACACGAAUGUAACAAUGAUAACUGCACAGUUGUCAAAUGUUUUGAGCUUAAGAAGGCUUUUCUAGAAAAGCAAAGAAGAGAGAAGAAAUUUCUAACUAACUUUAUCAAUUUUCGCUUAUCUGCCGUGCCAACGAUCAUAGAAGCUCGACCAAGAAAUGAUAUAUCAAAGCCGGAUGAAACAUCAAAUGCUCCUUGUAGCUUUUCGAAUAAAAUGACAAAAAUUUAACUCAAAGUAAUAAGAAACUAGAAAAUAUCAUCGAAUGAAUACACUGCCAUCAAUAAAUUGGUGGGGCUCAACUAUAAAGAAAUUAUAGAGAAUAUUAUUAUACAUAAAAUCUUUUUCAUUCCUUUCAACCAGCUGUAUUUUCCUUGUAAAAUUUCAAAAUGGUUAUUUGUUUCAUUUCUUCAUAUUCAAAAAAGUUUUUAUUUUAAGAGUGCAGAGGCUUUCGUCAAAGUAGAAAGUACCAUUGCAAACAAACUGAACUCAGAAUUUUUUAUCUAGCAAUUUUUGACUUAGUGCCAUUUUGCACCAAUAUGUCCUUUCUGUAGCCCAAUAAUCAAGUAAAUAAAAACAAAUAAUGAGAAA